Non-coding RNA from Canis lupus familiaris (dog), 114 nucleotides. NCBI's taxonomy places the organism in Eukaryota, Metazoa, Chordata, Mammalia, Carnivora, Canidae. The record is from Rfam.
AGCUUUGCGCAGUGGCAGUAUCGUAGCCAAUGAGGUUUAUCCGAGGCAUGAUUAUUGCUAAUUGAAAUGUCAUUUAUAAAUAUCUUUUCAAAAAAAUAAAUAAAUAAAAAUAAA